GCAAGUUAUACAUACGAAAAAACAAGUCAAAAGAUCUAACACAGCUCUUAACAGAGGUAAACGCGGUCCUCGGCCGCAACGCUUUUUGCGAUAUUGCGAGAAGAACAACUGCUCGAAGUAAACCAUUACAACAUGGCAGAAAUCUUGUCCUCGAUCGCUUAACACGUACUAAAUCUUCCUUUCCAUUGUUUUUCAGGUUGGCGCGAAUGAUCAGUGAUUUAAAAGAUGCCAAAGACCAAGUUUUAGAAGGAGGAAUAAUGAAACCCUUUUGCACAAGGACUGAUGCGUUUCUCUUGUUCAAUUACUUGCAGUUAUCACUAUUUGUUCGCGUUGCGAAGCCUAAAAUAGAAUUGUUCCCUCAUAUAACGAAGGCAAUUGUAGUCGAGCUGGAGUUAGCAGAUGGUUAUUCUUUUCAUAAAGUUUAUGAUCAAAGUUCGUUUAGCUUGAAAUGGAUUGUAUUUGGAUUAGUUAGGGUUCUCACCUUUAAGAGAUUUCACGGUCGAGUUUUUCUCAACCUAAGACACUUUUGGAACGUAUGAUUUCUGGUGCUGUUUAUUUGACCUACGUUCGAUGACAAAGCAUUGUAAAUCAUCAUUCCGCUUGCGGAGAGGAGAAAGCAGAAGAACUGAUGUAAAAGAUCUGACAGAGAUAGAGUCAAUAAACAUUCCAGCAAAAGUAGUUUGAGUUGUGCUCUUGUCAUUAAGUUUAUAAGUUAUAAGCGGUGUUUUCACAGCAGAUAUUCGAGACUCAGUAUCCCCACCGAUAUCAAACAAAAUCGAUAGCACAGAAAUUCGAGAAGGCACGACAGGAUGUCUCAAAAUGGGUUAUUUACCAGAAUAUUGCGAGGAAUAUUGAGGGUUACAGUCCACAGCAUCAAUCAAGAGAGAUACCACUACCAUAGACAUUUUAAGGGCAUCACUAAACAGACCCGUUGGCGCCAGAACCAAAUUACCUUCGCCCAAGCGAGGAAGGAGGAAACGCUUGUUGGCGCGAAUGACUAGUGAUUUAAAAGAUGCCAAACACCAAGUUUUAGAAAGAGGAACAAUGAAGCCUUUUUGCACAAGGACUGAUGCGUUUCUCGUGUUCAAUUACUUGCAGUUGUCACUAUUUGUUCGCGUUGCGAAGCCUCAAACAAAAUUAUUCACUCGUAUAACGAAGACAAUUGUAGUCGAGCUGUAGUUUGCAGAUGAUUAUGGUUUUCAAAAAUUUUAUGAUCAAAGUUCGUUUAGCUUGACAUGGUUUGUAUUUGGGUUAGUUCUUAGUUAGAGUUCUCACUUCUAAGAGAUUUCACGAUCGAUUUUUUCUCAACCUAAGACACUUAUGGAACGUAUGAUUUAUAGUGCUGUUUAUUUGACCUACGUUCGAUGACAAAGCAUUGUAACAUUCAAGUCAAUAUUUCACUCGCGGAGAAGAGAAAGCAGAAGAACUGAUGUAAAAGAUCUGACAAAGAUAGAGUCAAUAAACAUUAUAACAAAAGUAGUUUGAGUUUUGUUCUUGUUCCUGAGUAAUUAGCAGUGUUUCCACAGCAGACAUUUGAGACUCAGUAUCCCUACCGAUGUCAAACAAAAUCGAUGGCACAGAAAUUCGAGAGGGCACGACAGGAUGUUCCAAAAUGGGUUAUUUACCAGAAUAUUGCAAAGAAUAUUAAGGGAUACAGUCCACGGCAUUUAUCAAGAGAGAUACCACUACCAUAGACAUUUUAAGAGCAUCAGUAAACAGACCCGUUGGCGCCAGAACCAAAUUACCUUCGCAUUAGCGAGGGAGGAGGAAACGCUUGUUGGCGCGAAUGAUCAGUGAUUUAAAAGAAGCCAAAGAACAAGUUUUAGAAGGAGGAAUAAUGAAGCCCUUUUGCACAAGGACUGAUGUAGUUUCUCGUGUUCAGUUACUUGUAGUUGUCACUAUUUGUUCGCGCUCCGAAGCCUAAAACAAAAUUGUUCCCUCGUAUAGCGAAGGCAAUUGUAGUCGAGCUGGAGUUUGCAGAUGAUUACGGUUU
RNAcentral lists this long non-coding RNA (1993 nucleotides) under Pocillopora damicornis (cauliflower coral). RNAcentral describes it as "uncharacterized LOC113666590, transcript variant X1". Lineage: Eukaryota; Metazoa; Cnidaria; Anthozoa; Scleractinia; Pocilloporidae. The record is from RNAcentral.